AACGCUAGCGGUGCGCCUAACACAUGCAAGUCGAGCGGGAUUAUCUUGGAAGCUUGCUUCUAGGAUAUGAGAGCGGCGAACGGGUGAGUAACACGUUGGUACCUGCCCCUAAGUCAGGGAUAGCCAGAAGAAAUUCUGAUUAAUACCGGAUGCCCUCUUCGGAGGAAAGAUUUAUCGCUUAGGGAGGGGCCUGCGUUCUAUCAGCUAGUUGGUGAGGUAAUAGCUCACCAAGGCUAUGACGGAUAAUUGGUCUGAGAGGACGACCAGUCACAAUGAAACUGAGACACGGUUCAUACUCCUACGGGAGGCAGCAGUGAGGAAUCUUCCACAAUGGACGAAAGUCUGAUGGAGCGACACCGCGUGAAGGAUGAAGGCCUAACGGUUGUAAACUUCUUUUCUGAGGGAGCAUAAUGAGAGUACUUCAGGAAUAAGGAACGGCAAAUCACGUGCCAGCAGCCGCGGUAAUACGUGAGUUCCAAGCGUUACCCGGAAUCAUUGGGUGUAAAGGAUGCGUAGGUGGAUUUUUAAGUCAGGUAUGAAAGACCGGAGCUCAACUCCGUGUUUGUGCUUGAAACUGGAAAUCUGGAAUCAGGGAGAGGUUAGCGGAAUUCUAAGUGUAGGGGUGCAAUCCGUAGAUACUUAGAAGAACACCAAAAGCGAAGGCAGCUAACUGGAACUGUAUUGACACUGAGGCAUGAAAGCGUGGGGAGCAAAAAGGAUUAGAUACCCUUGUAGUCCACGCCCUAAACGUUGAUAACUAAGUGUCGGGAAUUGUCCCGGUGCUGAAGCUAACGCGAUAAGUUAUCCACCUGAGGAGUACGGUCGCAAGAUUAAAACUCAAAGGAAUAGACGGGGACCCACACACGCAGUGGAUCACGUGGUUUAAUUCGACAAUAAACGGGGAAUCUUACCCAGACUUGACAUCCUAGGAAUCUUGUAGAAAUAUGAGAGUGCCCGUAAGGGAGCCUAGUGACAGGUGCUGCAUGGUUGUCGUCAGCUCGUGCCUUGAGGUGUUCGGUUAAGUCCGUUAACGAGCGCAACCCAUGUCCUUAGUUAUUAUGUCUAAGGAGACUGCCUUGGUUAACAAGGAGGAAGGUGUGGAUGACGUCAAAUCAGCAUGGCUUUUACGUCUGGGGCUACACACAUGAUACAAUGGUAUGUACAAAGAGCAGCAAUAUGGUAACAUGGAGCUAAUCUUCAAAGCAUAUCUCAGUCCGGAUUGAGGGCUGCAACUCGCCCUCAUGAAGUUGGAAUUGCUAGUAAUCGUAAAUCAGACAUGUUACGGUGAAUGUGUUCCUGGGUCUUGUACUCACCGCCCGUCAAGGCAUGGGAGGUAGUAAUAUCGGAAGCUCCUCAAGUAAUAUGGGGGU
RNAcentral lists this ribosomal RNA (1370 nucleotides) under uncultured bacterium. RNAcentral's name for it is "bacterial SSU rRNA". It matches the Rfam family "Bacterial small subunit ribosomal RNA". The record is from RNAcentral.